This is a long non-coding RNA of Boleophthalmus pectinirostris (great blue-spotted mudskipper), 1326 nucleotides long. RefSeq lists it as uncharacterized. NCBI's taxonomy places the organism in Eukaryota, Metazoa, Chordata, Actinopteri, Gobiiformes, Gobiidae. The record is from RefSeq and is a predicted model, not a curated record. The transcript has 2 exons.
CCUCCAAACCUGUUUGUUUUUGUUUCCUGAUUUGUUUUUUUGUUUUUUUGUUCUCCCCCCCUUUUGUUGCAAGGCUUGAGUGUGGCAGGGGGCGUGGCUGUCUUCUUCCAGAGCAGAUGGGACACACCAGCAAUCAAUUCCUUCAUCAGCCUCUGUAUUUAGCCCUGGUCUUCUCACCACCACUUUGCCAGAUAAUUCCGUCCUGUUUGGUGUCUCCGUGGUUGUCUGCUGUUGCCUCUGGAGAAGUUGGCCAGCUCCCUGCCUCCUCAGCCUCCCUUCCGUUUGUAAAAUAAACUGUUAAAACUUGACUGAGUCCUGGCCCUGCUUUGGGGUCCCUCUUGCCAAACCUUAACAAAACCAUUGUAAAUCACACCAAGUCUGUUUAGAUAAGCCAGCUGGUUAUCUCCACAGUCCCAGUUCUGCAAAGGAAUUUGCUUAGAAGCACAUAGGUUACCCAUUAUGUAGCACAAUGGUACUAUUCAACAGAUAAGAUCUCAGUGUUUAAGCUUCAACUCAAUGUGUAACUUCAUUAAACAAUAUUUAAACCACCACUUGAUACAGCCUUCACUUGAUUAAAUAUUACCAAAGAACAAAUCAUUUUAGAGCUCAGGUAGAAAUACUUAAGUAACUUAAGUAUCUUUUUAUGAAAAUUGUAUUGUUGAGUAGUUUUCAGACACCACACUUUUACUCUUCCUUUAAUAGAAUCUUUUACAACAUAAAAUUUGACUGAAGUUUUGGUUUGGUUACUAAAUUAAAACUAAACCAGCUCUAAACAUAAAUGUAAACCUGGACUAGACCAGAACAGGGUCAAUCCAAGUCUAAAUCAGGACUAAAUGGGCUCAAUUUAGGACAAAAUAAGAAUAAAAGUAAAACUACAAGUGACAAAAAUGUUAUGGUGAUGAUAUGAAAAGAUUUUAACUUUUAUCGUAUAAACUGCCCACUAGUUUUAAGAAGAGAAUGUAUCAGGUCCAUCCUAGCCCAACUCCACUGGCUACCUGUUAAAUCCAGAAUUGAUUUUGAAAUUAAUUUUUAAAUUACUUAAUUUACUUGUCCCUUAAUAUAUCAUGGAUCUUCUAACCACACACACACUGCCCCUGGGACCCUCAGGUCAGACUAUGUCUGUCCCACCAUCCUGCUUCAAAGCCAAGAACAUUGAGCUUUUUUGAAGCUGUAAACUUCAGAUUUUUUUUAUAUGUAUUAUUUGAUCAUGUUUUAUUGUUUUACUGUGUGUCUUUGACUGCGUUUGUUGUUGUAAAGCACUUUGGUGCACGUUUUUACAAUUGUUUAGAAUGUGCUUUACAAAUAAAAUGACUUGACUAAAUAUUA